This 253-nucleotide ribosomal RNA is filed under the name uncultured bacterium. RNAcentral describes it as "partial 16S ribosomal RNA". It matches the Rfam family "Bacterial small subunit ribosomal RNA", at positions 524 to 776 of the family's 1533-position model. The record is from RNAcentral.
UACGUAGGUGGCGAGCGUUGUCCGGAAUUAUUGGGCGUAAAGCGCGCGCAGGCGGUCCUUUAAGUCUGAUGUGAAAGCCCACGGCUCAACCGUGGAAGGUCAUUGGAAACUGGAGGACUUGAGUACAGAAGAGGAAAGCGGAAUUCCACGUGUAGCGGUGAAAUGCGUAGAGAUGUGGAGGAACACCAGUGGCGAAGGCGGCUUUCUGGUCUGUAACUGACGCUGAGGCGCGAAAGCGUGGGGAGCAAACAGG